RNAcentral lists this long non-coding RNA (1016 nucleotides) under Triticum aestivum (bread wheat). Its description in RNAcentral is "long non-coding RNA (TAES_LNC025011)". Lineage: Eukaryota; Viridiplantae; Streptophyta; Magnoliopsida; Poales; Poaceae. The record is from RNAcentral.
UUGCAUUCCAUGCUUUAUAUUUAUCAAAAUGAUUAUGACAUGGCUCAUUUCAGUCGUCAUGUGUGGUUGCUAGGUUUGGUUCCCUGAUGCGCACCGGUGGUGCACGAUAGAGUGUGCACAGGGGAUUCUUCUUCCACUCUGAUGCCUCCCGCCCUGCCCCUCCGGUGGCAUCAGUUCCUCUUUCAGUUCUGCAUCUCUGCUGGUAAGCCCCUGAUUCCCUCUCUGCUAUCUAUGUUGACCGGAAAACAUCAAAUGUGGACAAGUGGCACUAGAGUCUGUUCUGUCUAGAUUCUUAUGUUUUUUGGAAACGGACUAAACUAAGCUGCAGUUUUACAUGUAAAUAUUUGAAGAAAAACAUAUUAUGUCUCUUAUGUGAUCUCAGAGCACUUUUACCUUCAUUUUGAAAAUGCAUUUGUCUUUAUAUGUGUUGUAUAAAAGGAAUACAUGAAGGCACAAGCAAUCAAAAAUGUAUGGAAAUGUCUCUUAAAUUGCAAGCCUAAUGCUAGGAAAAAUGGACUUAUAUCAUUUUUUUCAACUUCUCCAGGUUGGUCGGCCGGUGCGGCGCAAAUCUGGUUCGACGAGGUCGUUGACGACCUGCUGCGGGAGUGGGACAAUGGGAUCAGCUCCGGGAGGUCCGGGGCACGCUGCUGCCGCUCGUGUAGCAGAAGUCUAACUGCUCCGAGGUGAUGAUUUCUCUGGUUAUUACUCACUCGGUGAUGUUCUGAACCACAAUGAUGUUGUUGCCUCGACAAUGAGUUCCUCAACUUACGUGACUGAUGAGCUGGGGCGUGAAGAUCAUGGCUCUUAUGAUUUGUAUACAGACCUUACUACUGUAUUGUACUGGGGUAGAAUGCCUCUAUGAAGGUGUUUUGACCCUCUAUGAAUGCUUAUUUUUAUGUUGUACAUUAUUUGUAGUCGGAUUGUGCCUGUCCAAAAUUGCUGGUAUGUGGUUACUGUAAGAUAUAUUACGUGUUAAUCGUUAGAUUCAAUAUGAUGCUAAUUCCCCUGUGCGUGAC